This is a non-coding RNA of Dermacentor albipictus, 520 nucleotides long. Lineage: Eukaryota; Metazoa; Arthropoda; Arachnida; Ixodida; Ixodidae. The record is from RefSeq and is a predicted model, not a curated record.
UUCAUUCGUUCGUACACUCAAGACUGGUUGCUUCUUUGUUUCUAAAACUAGUUUCUUGCGCUUCUAUGUAACUUGGGGUGAAGUUACGUGUUUGCAAGCGGACAUGUAAGCCCGGCAGUUGGGUUUCGGUCGUGAGCCAUUCGGAACAGGUCUGCAUCGAAACGGGAGCUGGAUUUUGCUGCGGCUGACAACGGCAAUAACGACAUGCAGUAAUGAGGACGGCACCAGUAUAAAGCAACACACUCCACGCACUAAACAGAAGCUGCUGCCUGCUACGACAAGGUCAUUGUGUGGACAUUGGCUACUACUACAAGAGUCUAUGCCAAGCACAUCUUGGUCAUCACAGGAGCUCCUAUCUGCACCAACAGGAAGGGGCUGGAGCCGAAUUUGCAAGGCUUUUACACCAAGAACAAAGAAGCACAUGCACAAGAAUAUGGAUGAGAUAUCAAGUCUGCAAAGGACUGUGUUAAGACUGCAAAGAGCUUCAGCCACCAUUCCACCAGCACGGACAUUUGGCUGA